GCCUCCUGCCCUCAGCCAGGAGGGGAAAGGGACAGCGAGGGAGUGACAAUGCUGCCCGCGCGCCCCGCAAACAGGAUGCCUCGGCUAUAUAAAGAUCAGGGGGCGGAGGAGCGGGACAUAGGACGUGCCAGGGGCUUGUGACAGCCCGCGGGCCGCUGCCCCUCGUGAAGACGGGCACAUUGGCUGAGCCACCCCGCACAGAGUGGGGCAGAUCUGAUGCUGUACAAGCCGCUGGACCUCCCCUCAAGGCUGGCAGAAAGGUGCCUCCAUGGCGAGAUAAAGCCAAGGGAAACAAAGGAAAUGUUUCUGCAAGGAGGAACCUUCACACAUUUUAUUUUUCAUGCCAAGCUAUAGCUCACAGCAGACAAAAAUCCCCACGGCAAAGCCUGUUGCAGAGUCGGGGGUUCCCAGAGCCACGAUUGCCAUUGAGCUCCCUUCACCCCAGCAGGAUUUAGGCCAUCAUCCAGCAGGGCCCAAAUUUCACUCCGAGGGAAGGCUGCUAACUUCAGGUCCACUGCUGUCCCUGGCCAAGGGCGUUCUUUUGGUUGGGAGGAGGCAAUGGGAGAACUUCUGCUUGUUCCAUAGCGUGGGACAUGGGGCACACAGCCCCACUUGGCUGUGGAAGGGACAUUUGUUGAAAUCUCUCCCAGAGAGUCUCAUUAGCACCACACGAUGCCCCAUUUUCUGGAAGGCAAGAAGAUGAUCUGCAAGAGGAAGCUGGGAUUUCUUCCAAGUCUUUCUGAGCUACAUCCAUGACACCCCUGCAGAAGAAUGGUCCUCGUCGCUCAGGAGCUCAUCUCCAACCAUGGCUUGCAACCAGGCUCGCUGACAUGCCACACACACAGCAGCAACCAAGCAGACCAACCUUUGUCUGCAGAGCAGAUUUUCCCCUUAAAAUAAAGUUUUUCAGCCCCCAAAA
Molecule: long non-coding RNA, 919 nt
Organism: Cygnus olor (mute swan)
Lineage: Eukaryota; Metazoa; Chordata; Aves; Anseriformes; Anatidae
Exons: 2
Source: RefSeq, a predicted model, not a curated record